UACGUAGGGUGCGGGCGUUACUCGGAAUUACUGGGCGUAAAGUGUGCGCAGGCGGUUGAGGAAGUCGCGUGUGAAAGCCCCGGGCUUAACUUGGGAAUUGCGCUCGAAACUACUUGACUGGAGUGUGGCAGAGGAAGGUGGAAUUCCACGUGUAGCGGUGAAAUGCGUAGAGAUGUGGAGGAACACCAAUGGCGAAGGCAGCCUUCUGGGCCAACACUGACGCUCAUGCACGAAAGCGUGGGGAGCAAACAGG
This 253-nucleotide ribosomal RNA is filed under the name uncultured bacterium. Its description in RNAcentral is "partial 16S ribosomal RNA". It matches the Rfam family "Bacterial small subunit ribosomal RNA", at positions 524 to 776 of the family's 1533-position model. The record is from RNAcentral.